UCCUCUGCAAGAAUAGCGAUAGCUCUUAACCGCUGCGCCAUCUCUCCUUCCCUGAAAUCUGUUGAAGUCAUGAAUCCUGGUUUGUCCUGAGUCGAGGUCCCUAAAGCUUAGGGAAGAUCUCGGGCUGCUAAGGAUGACCACACAGAGCCAUGUCUCUAGUCCUCACUACUAACACUUCUGGGGGCUUCUGCUGAGAUCCAUCUUGAAGCAUUGUUGGUCAGAUGAAAUAGUACAUGGCUUUUCCAGGAGGACUUAUCAGAAGAGCUGAUCCUCCAGAUGUCCACAGCCAGACUCCUUCCUCCAACAGAGCAGCUGAGACACAGUGGAGAAUUGAUUCCACAGAGCAGCACAUUAGAAAUAACUGCCCCUGGGGCUGGAGAGAUGGCUCAGCGGUUAACAGCACUGACUGCUCUUGCAGAGGACCCAGAUACAGAAGUAAGCAUGGGAAACAUAAGGAAGCCUCAAAACAAAUAAAACAAACUUUGGCCUCAAGUAACAUUGAGAAAAAUCAUUUUCAUCAGUAAAAGCAUCACCCCCUCAGCUACUUACUUUUCCGAGGAGGAAGAGAUGUUGUCUUAUAUCUACAAGAGAAGUUUUGCCUUCUGAGCUUUGAUGCUACGAAGCCUUUCUCAAAUGGUAAAGAGACAGAUAUAUAAAUUUUCUACCUUUUUUUAAUUGGAUGCACCUAGAUUUUAUGUAAUUAUAUCGUGUAUGUCUAUGAUAAUUGCUUUCAUGUGCUGUGUCCAAAGAAAAUGUAACAAACUGUGGCCACUUUGGGGUUUUUUUCUAUUCAUUUUUGUUGUGUGCAAAAAUUAUUAUUUUAUUAUGCACAUGUGUAUAUUUAUAAAUGUAUUUAGGUGAUGUAUUAAAAGGCCCAAUAAAUACAUACUGCCUUAUAAACUUGGGUGCUCUAACUGCCCCAGCAGCCUAAGUAAGCUUGGCCACAAGUUCAGUAUGCCAACUAGGAGGACAGGAUAACAGCACAGUACAAAGAGAGGCUGUUUAAUCAAUGUGACCACUUUUGUGAAACAAGUAGAGGUGGCUAAUGGUCCUGGAUCUUUCUUUGGGAGAAUUAACAUGAUUUCUUUAUUUAAAUUUUUAAAAAUCUUUUUUAAAACACAUGAUCUACAUAAUUAUAUGAUUCUGGCCAAGAUGUUAUCUCCUUGAUCUUUGUCUUAAUUCUGGUUCUACAAUAUAGUCCCUAUUGCUUGUGGGUACAAAUUAAUUUUAAGAGAUGAUUAUUCCUGCUCCAGGGUGCAGUUUUUACUAUCAGAUAAUUGCCCUUCUCUGAGAUGCUAAACUCUUCUAUUCCAAGGAUCAAGGAUGACUUAUCUCUGUGUAUUUAAAUAUAUUUUGUUUAUGUGUGUGCAUAAAUAUAAGCAUUUUAAGGGUUUGAAGGAUAUUUUUGGUCACUAUACCCUGUUCAAAACAAACAAGUUUUUCAAGGUCUAUAUCUUAGCCAAGUCUAUGUAAGAUACAAUUCUAAACAUUUUAAAAAAUGGUCAUUUAAAAAACCUGCUUCA
This is a long non-coding RNA of Nannospalax galili (Upper Galilee mountains blind mole rat), 1523 nucleotides long. RefSeq lists it as uncharacterized. The transcript is spliced from 4 exons. The record is from RefSeq and is a predicted model, not a curated record. Lineage: Eukaryota; Metazoa; Chordata; Mammalia; Rodentia; Spalacidae.